GUGAGGAAUAUUGGUCAAUGGGAGCAAUCCUGAACCAGCAAUGCCGCGUGUGGGAUGACAGGGCUUCGCCUUGUAAACCACUGUCGGACGGGACGAAAGGAGGCCUCGGGCCUCUGGGACGGUACCGUCAAAGGAAGGGUCGGCUAACUACGUGCCAGCAGCCGCGGUAAUACGUAGGACCCGAGCGUUGUCCGGAUUUACUGGGUAUAAAGGGUGCGUAGGCGGCCUUGUGCGUCAGAGGUGAAAUAUCCGGGCUUAACCCGGAGGGUGCCUUUGAUACGGCAGGGCUUGAGUGCGAGAGAGGAUGAUGGAAUUCCUGGUGUAGCGGUGAAAUGCGUAGAUAUCAGGAGGAACACCGGUGGCGAAGGCGGUCAUCUGGCUCGUAACUGACGCUGAGGCACGAAAGCGCGGGGAUCAAACAGGAUUAGAAACCCCUGUAGUCC
This 443-nucleotide ribosomal RNA is filed under the name uncultured bacterium. RNAcentral's name for it is "bacterial SSU rRNA". It matches the Rfam family "Bacterial small subunit ribosomal RNA", at positions 354 to 796 of the family's 1533-position model. The record is from RNAcentral.